Molecule: long non-coding RNA, 264 nt
Organism: Leopardus geoffroyi (Geoffroy's cat)
Lineage: Eukaryota; Metazoa; Chordata; Mammalia; Carnivora; Felidae
Exons: 2
Source: RefSeq, a predicted model, not a curated record
ACCGCGGGGUCCACCCCUUCGUGGCCAUCUUAGAACGAGGUAAACCCUCAUUACAGAACGAGGACAGAAGAAUGUCUGCAGGUUAAAAAAGAAUAACGAAAUCCUGUUAAAAACUAAUAAGAAUGUGUCCAAGACAUAUUGUAUAGAAGAGCAAAAGCUGCCUGCAGAAUACACCGUGUCAUCCCAUCUGUGUAACAAACUAAAAUAGAAUACCUGCAUGUGUGUGUAAAAGAUCUGGAGGGGCAUCUGGGUGGCUCAGUUAAG